RNAcentral lists this unclassified non-coding RNA (311 nucleotides) under Hevea brasiliensis (rubber tree). Lineage: Eukaryota; Viridiplantae; Streptophyta; Magnoliopsida; Malpighiales; Euphorbiaceae. The record is from RNAcentral.
GAAACGCGACGGUGAGAGUGAUGAAUUUGAGGAUGAAGAUCUUGCAGACAUAAAUGAGAAAAAUAACUCUCAAUUUGUUGCCAACCACAUGGAUGUCAAAGAGGACGAAGGAUGGAUAACUAUUCCAAAGAAUAAACUUCCUGAAAACUGGAGUGAGGCACCAGAUAUCUCUUCCAUAUGCUCACUGGACCGCUUCUUUGUUAUACCUGGUGAACAGGUCCAUAUACUUGCAUGUCUCUCAGCCUGUAAGCAGGAUACAGAAAUUAUUACACCUUUUAAAGUUGCAGCCGUUAUGAAACAAAAUGGUAACA